GGGGAUGUUUUUAGAAUUCGACAUAGUACAAUAUUAUGAGA
RNAcentral lists this non-coding RNA (41 nucleotides) under Reclinomonas americana ATCC 50284. Lineage: Eukaryota; Jakobea; Jakobida; Histionidae. The record is from RNAcentral.